AAAAAAGAAGAGUUUAAAAAAGAAAAAAAUAAUUAAAACGAUUAUUCUUUUUCUCUCCUUCUCUUUCCCCGUUCUUCCUCUCUCGCCGAUCUCUCCCUCUUUCUCCUUUCUCCCUCUCCUCUUCCGCCUCACGCCCGCACAAUCCUCCCCCAACUACGAUCUGCUUCCGAUCGGCCAGCCCCACUAGCGACUUGGCUUCGGCAGCGCCUCCCAGACGAGCGGCGGACCCGGCGGUGCAGCGGCAAGAACCGACUAGCGCGACUUCCGGCGAAAAUCUGUAGUGAGCGGCGGCGUCCGGCACAGAUCUGAAGUAGAUCCUCGAACUUCGACGAUCCGCAGCAGCCGCCGACGACCCAGCAGCCACCAGCGACGACGACGACAACGGAAGGUCGGAGCAGGCGCAACCUCGACGCGAAACCACGUGUUUCGUCAAGUUUCAGCAGCGUUUUCCCUCAUACAGCGUUCGGACACUAAUCGACGAGGUUUUGGGACGUUUGACUAAGUUUUAGUGGAAUUGACGUAGGGAGCUAUUCGAACACGUGGCAGCAAGGGAAACAGUCUAUUUCGGCAUUCGGAUCGAGGUUAAGGUCGCUUAUCUGCAUAGUUGUUGCUCAAAAUGGCUGAUGCAAAGUCUACAAUAGCUAAAGAUGUUACUGAACUAAUUGGGAAUACACCACUUGUAUACCUCAACCGUGUUGUUGAUGGCUGCGUGGCUCGGGUAGCUGCCAAGUUGGAGAUGAUGGAGCCUUGCUCCAGUGUCAAAGAUAGGAUUGGCUAUAGCAUGAUUUCAGAUGCAGAAAACAAGGGUCUUAUCACUCCGGGGGAGAGUGUCUUGAUUGAACCUACCAGUGGUAAUACUGGUAUAGGCUUGGCCUUCAUUGCUGCUGCCAAGGGUUAUAGACUUAUAAUUUGCAUGCCUGCAUCAAUGAGUCUUGAA
RNAcentral lists this unclassified non-coding RNA (937 nucleotides) under Hevea brasiliensis (rubber tree). The record is from RNAcentral. Lineage: Eukaryota; Viridiplantae; Streptophyta; Magnoliopsida; Malpighiales; Euphorbiaceae.